AGGAAAGAUGAGAUUAUGUCUGCAGCCUUUUAUAUCUGCCAUCUUGAUUGUUGUGUAAUCUGAUAUCUUUUCUUACAGCAAAAAAAGACCAAACCUGUUUCAAGACCUACACUCACCACCUUACAAUGUCAGCUUCAGCUCCUACAGAGUGAGUGUACCAUUGGGUCGUGUCUAUAAGGCAACGGGUGUCUCUGACAUGCAGGGAAGGGAUUUGUGACAGGCAUCUCCCCAGACGAAGGGCAGGGGGAGUGAGGAUGAACAGGACCGCAGAUGAAAGGGUCGGUGCGGCUCCACCCACAUAUCCAUGUCCUCCCAUCAGUCCCCCCUAUAUUUCAGCUCCUCACAGGCCCUGUGAAUGAAACAUACCACUGUGACACAACGUGUGAGUGUGUUUGUAGGAGUAUGUAUACAACAGCAGUGUAUUUCUAUAAGAAGCAUCUGUAUUAUAUUUACCAUGUGCCUGUACAUGCAUGUGAGCACAUGGGACUACUUUUCGUAGACUCAUGACUAUGUGUAUAUGUCUGUGUGGGUGUAGGUAUGUGUGGCACUUGGAUGGAUUGAUGGGUAAUACAUGGCUAAUGAUACAUGGCUGAACUGUAUUAUCGUUCAAUAGCAUUCAUAUUAUAACUAUCAAGCUUUUUUAUAUGACUUUAUGUCUCAAGACUUCCUGCUUAAAUGAAAAAAAAUCUUAUUAUUGGCUUAUGAGUGAUCUAUAAAGUGUUAUUUGUAAAUGAUAAACUCUGAAUAAAGGAUAUUUUAUAUGGUA
Molecule: long non-coding RNA, 766 nt
Organism: Dicentrarchus labrax (European seabass)
Lineage: Eukaryota; Metazoa; Chordata; Actinopteri; Moronidae
Exons: 2
Source: RefSeq, a predicted model, not a curated record